GAGUUUGAUCCUGGCUCAGAAUGAACGCUGGCGGCGUGCUUAACACAUGCAAGUCGAACGGUAACAGAGAGAAGCUUGCUUCUCUGCUGACGAGUGGCGCACGGGUGAGUAAUAUAUAGGUAAUGUGCCCCUUGGACCGGGAUAGCCACUGGAAACGGUGAUUAAUACUGGAUACUCCUUCUUAUCAUAAGGUAAGUCGGGAAAUGGAUUCCGCCAAGGGAUCGGCCUAUAUCCUAUCAGCUAGUUGGUGAGGUAAGAGCUCACCAAGGCGAUGACGGGUAGCGGGUUUGAGAGGAUGAUCCGCCACACUGGUACUGAGACACGGACCAGACUCCUACGGGAGGCAGCAGUGAGGAAUAUUGCACAAUGGGGGAAACCCUGAUGCAGCAACGCCGCGUGGAGGAUGACGCAUUUCGGUGUGUAAACUCCUUUUAUAUGUCAAGAAAAUGACGGUAGCAUAUGAAUAAGCACCGGCUAACUCCGUGCCAGCAGCCGCGGUAAUACGGAGGGUGCAAGCGUUAUUCGGAAUCACUGGGCGUAAAGGACGCGUAGGCGGGUUGGUAAGUCAGAUGUGAAAUCCUACAGCUUAACUGUAGAACUGCAUUUGAAACUACUAACCUAGAGUAUGGGAGGGGCAGAUGGAAUUAGUGGUGUAGGGGUAAAAUCCGUAGAUAUCACUAGGAAUACCGAAAGCGAAGGCGAUCUGCUGGAACAUAACUGACGCUAAGGCGUGAAAGCGUGGGGAGCAAACAGGAUUAGAUACCCUGGUAGUCCACGCCCUAAACGAUGAACACUAGUCGUCGGGAUGCUAGUCAUCUCGGUGAUGCACUUAACAGAUUAAGUGUUCCGCCUGGGGAGUACGGUCGCAAGAUUAAAACUCAAAGGAAUAGACGGGGACCCGCACAAGUGGUGGAGCAUGUGGUUUAAUUCGAAGAUACGCGAAGAACCUUACCUAGCCUUGACAUUGAAAGAAUCUUCCAGAGAUGGAGGAGUGCCCUUCGGGGAGCUUGAAACAGGUGCUGCACGGCUGUCGUCAGCUCGUGUCGUGAGA
RNAcentral lists this ribosomal RNA (1051 nucleotides) under uncultured Campylobacterota bacterium. RNAcentral describes it as "bacterial SSU rRNA". It matches the Rfam family "Bacterial small subunit ribosomal RNA", at positions 9 to 1072 of the family's 1533-position model. The record is from RNAcentral. Lineage: Bacteria; Pseudomonadati; Campylobacterota.